This 581-nucleotide ribosomal RNA is filed under the name Bacillus sp. KCB 5. RNAcentral describes it as "bacterial SSU rRNA". It matches the Rfam family "Bacterial small subunit ribosomal RNA", at positions 536 to 1114 of the family's 1533-position model. Lineage: Bacteria; Bacillati; Bacillota; Bacilli; Caryophanales; Bacillaceae. The record is from RNAcentral.
GCGUUUUUCCGGGAAUUAUUGGGCGUAAGGGCUCGCAGGCGGUUUCUUAGUCUGAUGUGAAAGCCCCCGGCUCAACCGGGGAGGGUCAUUGGAAACUGGGAAACUUGAGUGCACAAGAGGAGAGUGGAAUUCCACGUGUAGCGGUGAAAUGCGUAGAGAUGUGGAGGAACACCAGUGGCGAAGGCGACUCUCUGGUCUGUAACUGACGCUGAGGAGCGAAAGCGUGGGGAGCGAACAGGAUUAGAUACCCUGGUAGUCCACGCCGUAAACGAUGAGUGCUAAGUGUUAGGGGGUUUCCGCCCCUUAGUGCUGCAGCUAACGCAUUAAGCACUCCGCCUGGGGAGUACGGUCGCAAGACUGAAACUCAAAGGAAUUGACGGGGGCCCGCACAAGCGGUGGAGCAUGUGGUUUAAUUCGAAGCAACGCGAAGAACCUUACCAGGUUCUUGACAUCCUCUGACAACCCUAGAGAUAAGGGCUUUCCCUUCGGGGACAGAGUGACAGGUGGUGCAUGGUUGUCGUCAGCUCGUGUCGUGAGAUGUUGGGUUAAGUCCCGCAACGAGCCGCAACCCCUUGAAUCUU